RNAcentral lists this ribosomal RNA (460 nucleotides) under uncultured bacterium. Its description in RNAcentral is "partial 16S ribosomal RNA". It matches the Rfam family "Bacterial small subunit ribosomal RNA", at positions 338 to 795 of the family's 1533-position model. The record is from RNAcentral.
CCUACGGGUGGCAGCAGUGAGGAAUAUUGGUCAAUGGGCGAGAGCCUGAACCUGCCAAGUCGCGUGAAGGAUGACGGCCCUACGGGUUGUAAACUUCUUUUGUCAGGGAGCAAUUGGGUCCACGCGUGGGCUUAGCGAGAGUACCUGCAGACAAAGCAUCGGCUAACUCCGUGCCAGCAGCCGCGGUAAUACGGAGGAUGCGAGCGUUAUCCGGAUUUAUUGGGUUAAAGGGGUGCGUAGGCGGAAUAUCAAGUCAGCGGGAAAAAUUCGGGGCUCAACCCCGUCGUGCCGUUGAAACUGAUGGUCUUGAGUGGGCGAGAGGUAUGCGGAAUGCGUGGUGUAGCGGUGAAAUGCAUAGAUAUCACGCAGAACUCCGAUGGCGAAGGCAGCAUACCGGCGACCAACUGACGCUGAGGCACGAAGGCGUGGGUAUCGAACAGGAUUAGAUACCCUUGUAGUC